Triticum urartu is the source of this 136-nucleotide non-coding RNA. The record is from Rfam. NCBI's taxonomy places the organism in Eukaryota, Viridiplantae, Streptophyta, Magnoliopsida, Poales, Poaceae.
AUUCUACUCCCCCCGUUGCACAAUACAUGCCUUCUAUUUGUCAAAAUAUACAUGUUUCUAGACAUGUUUUAGUAUAUAGGUACAUCCAUUUUUGGACAAAUGGAAGUCAAGUAUUUUGGAAAGGAGGGAGUACACA